ACUAAGCGUACACGGUGGAUGCCCUGGCAGUCAGAGGCGAUGAAGGGCGUGCUAAUCUGCGAUAAGCGCCGGUAAGGUGAUAUGAACCGUUAUAACCGGCGAUACCCGAAUGGGGAAACCCAGUGUGAUUCGUCACACUAUCAUUAACUGAAUCCAUAGGUUAAUGAGGCGAACCGGGGGAACUGAAACAUCUAAGUACCCCGAGGAAAAGAAAUCAACCGAGAUUCCCCCAGUAGCGGCGAGCGAACGGGGAGGAGCCCAGAGCCUGAAUCAGCAUGUGUGUUAGUGGAAGCGUCUGGAAAGGCGCGCGAUACAGGGUGACAGCCCCGUACACAAAAGCGCAUGUGCUGUGAGCUCGAUGAGUAGGGCGGGACACGUGGUAUCCUGUCUGAAUAUGGGGGGACCAUCCUCCAAGGCUAAAUACUCCUGACUGACCGAUAGUGAACCAGUACCGUGAGGGAAAGGCGAAAAGAACCCCGGCGAGGGGAGUGAAAAAGAACCUGAAACCGUGUACGUACAAGCAGUGGGAGCACAGGUUUACCUGUGUGACUGCGUACCUUUUGUAUAAUGGGUCAGCGACUUAUAUUCUGUAGCAAGGUUAACCGNAUAGGGGAGCCGGAGGGAAACCGAGUCUUAAUUGGGCGUUAAGUUGCAGGGUAUAGACCCGAAACCCGGUGAUCUAGCCAUGGGCAGGUUGAAGGUUGGGUAACACUAACUGGAGGACCGAACCGACUAAUGUUGAAAAAUUAGCGGAUGACCUGUGGCUGGGGGUGAAAGGCCAAUCAAACCGGGAGAUAGCUGGUUCUCCCCGAAAGCUAUUUAGGUAGCGCCUCGUGAAUUCAUCUCCGGGGGUAGAGCACUGUUUCGGCUAGGGGGCCAUCCCGGCUUACCAACCCGAUGCAAACUGCGAAUACCGGAGAAUGUUAUCACGGGAGACACACGGCGGGUGCUAACGUCCGUCGUGAAGAGGGAAACAACCCAGACCGCCAGCUAAGGUCCCAAAGUCAUGGUUAAGUGGGAAACGAUGUGGGAAGGCCCAGACAGCCAGGAUGUUGGCUUAGAAGCAGCCAUCAUUUAAAGAAAGCGUAAUAGCUCACUGGUCGAGUCGGCCUGCGCGGAAGAUGUAACGGGGCUAAACCAUGCACCGAAGCUGCGGCAGCGACGCUUAUGCGUUGUUGGGUAGGGGAGCGUUCUGUAAGCCUGUGAAGGUGGCCUGUGAGGGUUGCUGGAGGUAUCAGAAGUGCGAAUGCUGACAUAAGUAACGAUAAAGCGGGUGAAAAGCCCGCUCGCCGGAAGACCAAGGGUUCCUGUCCAACGUUAAUCGGGGCAGGGUGAGUCGACCCCUAAGGCGAGGCCGAAAGGCGUAGUCGAUGGGAAACGGGUUAAUAUUCCCGUACUUGGUGUUACUGCGAAGGGGGGACGGAGAAGGCUAUGUUGGCCGGGCGACGGUUGUCCCGGUUUAAGCGUGUAGGUGUGUGUUCCAGGUAAAUCCGGUUCACUUUAACACUGAGGCGUGAUGACGAGGCACUACGGUGCUGAAGCAACAAAUGCCCUGCUUCCAGGAAAAGCCUCUAAGCAUCAGGUAACAUCAAAUCGUACCCCAAACCGACACAGGUGGUCAGGUAGAGAAUACCAAGGCGCUUGAGAGAACUCGGGUGAAGGAACUAGGCAAAAUGGUGCCGUAACUUCGGGAGAAGGCACGCUGACANGUAGGUGAAGUGAUUUACUCAUGGAGCUGAAGUCAGUCGAAGAUACCAGCUGGCUGCAACUGUUUAUUAAAAACACAGCACUGUGCAAACACGAAAGUGGACGUAUACGGUGUGACGCCUGCCCGGUGCCGGAAGGUUAAUUGAUGGGGUCAGCGCAAGCGAAGCUCCUGAUCGAAGCCCCGGUAAACGGCGGCCGUAACUAUAACGGUCCUAAGGUAGCGAAAUUCCUUGUCGGGUAAGUUCCGACCUGCACGAAUGGCGUAAUGAUGGCCAGGCUGUCUCCACCCGAGACUCAGUGAAAUUGAACUCGCUGUGAAGAUGCAGUGUACCCGCGGCAAGACGGAAAGACCCCGUGAACCUUUACUAUAGCUUGACACUGAACAUUGAGCCUUGAUGUGUAGGAUAGGUGGGAGGCUUUGAAGUGUGGACGCCAGUCUGCAUGGAGCCGACCUUGAAAUACCACCCUUUAAUGUUUGAUGUUCUAACGUGGACCCGUAAUCCGGGUUGCGGACAGUGUCUGGUGGGUAGUUUGACUGGGGCGGUCUCCUCCUAAAGAGUAACGGAGGAGCACGAAGGUUGGCUAAUCCUGGUCGGACAUCAGGAGGUUAGUGCAAUGGCAUAAGCCAGCUUGACUGCGAGCGUGACGGCGCGAGCAGGUGCGAAAGCAGGUCAUAGUGAUCCGGUGGUUCUGAAUGGAAGGGCCAUCGCUCAACGGAUAAAAGGUACUCCGGGGAUAACAGGCUGAUACCGCCCAAGAGUUCAUAUCGACGGCGGUGUUUGGCACCUCGAUGUCGGCUCAUCACAUCCUGGGGCUGAAGUAGGUCCCAAGGGUAUGGCUGUUCGCCAUUUAAAGUGGUACGCGAGCUGGGUUUAGAACGUCGUGAGACAGUUCGGUCCCUAUCUGCCGUGGGCGCUGGAGAACUGAGGGGGGCUGCUCCUAGUACGAGAGGACCGGAGUGGACGCAUCACUGGUGUUCGGGUUGUCAUGCCAAUGGCACUGCCCGGUAGCUAAAUGCGGAAGAGAUAAGUGCUGAAAGCAUCUAAGCACGAAACUUGCCCCGAGAUGAGUUCUCCCUGAGACUUAGAGUCUCCUGAAGGAACGUUGAAGACGACGACGUUGAUAGGCCGGGUGUGUAAGCGCAGCGAUGCGUUGAGCUAACCGGUACUAAUGAACCGUGAGGCUUAACC
This 2897-nucleotide ribosomal RNA is filed under the name Salmonella enterica subsp. enterica serovar Weltevreden. Its description in RNAcentral is "bacterial LSU rRNA". It matches the Rfam family "Bacterial large subunit ribosomal RNA". Lineage: Bacteria; Pseudomonadati; Pseudomonadota; Gammaproteobacteria; Enterobacterales; Enterobacteriaceae. The record is from RNAcentral.